RNAcentral lists this ribosomal RNA (1434 nucleotides) under uncultured marine bacterium. RNAcentral describes it as "bacterial SSU rRNA". It matches the Rfam family "Bacterial small subunit ribosomal RNA". The record is from RNAcentral.
GAGUUUGAUCAUGGCUCAGAACGUACGCUGGCGGCACGCCUAACACAUGCAAGUCGAACGAAGUAGCAAUACUUAGUGGCAGACGGGUGAGUAACAUGUAGGUAUCUGCCCUUUGGCCUGGAAUAACACGAGGAAACUUGUGCUAAUACCGGAUAAGUCUUUACAGAGAAAGCUUUAUGCACCAUUGGAUGAGCCUGCACUUGAUUAGUUUGCUGGUGGGGUAAUGGCCUACCAAGACUGUGAUCAAUAGCUGAUUUGAGAGGAUGAUCAGCCACAUUGGGACUGAGACACGGCCCAAACUCCUACGGGAGGCAGCAGUGGGGAAUCUUGCACAAUGGAGGAAACUCUGAUGCAGCGAUGCCGCGUGAGUGAAGAAGGCCCUUGGGUUGUAAAGCUCUUUCGUCGGGGAAGAAAAUGACAGUACCCGAAUAAGAAGGUCCGGCUAACUUCGUGCCAGCAGCCGCGGUAAUACGAAGGGACCUAGCGUAGUUCGGAAUUACUGGGCUUAAAGAGUUCGUAGGUGGUUGAAAAAGUUAGUGGUGAAAUCCCAGAGCUUAACUCUGGAACUGCCAUUAAAACUUUUCAGCUAGAGUAUGAUAGAGGAAAGCAGAAUUUCUAGUGUAGAGGUGAAAUUCGUAGAUAUUAGAAAGAAUACCAAUUGCGAAGGCAGCUUUCUGGAUCAUUACUGACACUGAGGAACGAAAGCAUGGGUAGCGAAGAGGAUUAGAUACCCUCGUAGUCCAUGCCGUAAACGAUGUGUGUUAGACGUUGGAAAUUUAUUUUCAGUGUCGCAGGGAAACCGAUAAACACACCGCCUGGGGAGUACGACCGCAAGGUUAAAACUCAAAUGAAUUGACGGGGACCCGCACAAGUAGUGGAGCAUGUGGUUUAAUUCGAAGAUACGCGCAGAACCUUACCAACACUUGACAUGUUCGUCGCGACUUUAAGAGAUUAAAGUUUUCGGUUCGGCCGGACGAAACACAGGUGCUGCAUGGCUGUCGUCAGCUCGUGUCGUGAGAUGUUGGGUUAAGUCCCGCAACGAGCGCAACCCUCACUUUUAGUUGCCAUCAUUAAGUUGGGCACUCUGAAAGAACUGCCAGUGAUAAGCUGGAGGAAGGUGGGGAUGACGUCAAGUCCUCAUGGCCCUUACGUGUUGGGCUACACACGUGCUACAAUGGUAUCUACAACAGGAAGCAAGACUGCGAAGUUAAGCAAAUCCCUAAAAGAUACCUCAGUUCGGAUUGCACUCUGCAACUCGAGUGCAUGAAGCUGGAAUUACUAGUAAUCGUGGAUCAGCGUGCCACGGUGAAUGCGUUCCCGGGUCUUGUACACACCGCCCGUCACACCAUGGGAGUUGGUUCUACCUUAAGGCAAGGUUUCAAACCCUUGACCACGGUAUAGUCAGCGACUGGGGUGAAGUCGUAACAAGGUACC